AUUGAACGCUGGCGGAAUGCUUUACACAUGCAAGCCGAACGGCAGCACGGACUUCGGUCUGGUGGCGAGUGGCGAACGGGUGAGUAAUGUAUCGGAACGUGCCCAGUCGUGGGGGAUAACGUAGUGAAAAUUACGCUAAUACCGCAUACGAUCUAGGGAUGAAAGCGGGGGAUUGCAAGACCUCGCGCGAUUGGAGCGGCCGAUAUCAGAUGAGGUAGUUGGUGGGGUCAAGGCCCACCAAGCCAACGAUCUGUAGCUGGUCUGAGAGGACGACCAGCCAAACUGGAACUGAGACACGGUCCAGACUCCUACGGGAGGCAGCAGUGGGGAAUUUUGGACAAUGGGCGAAAGCCUGAUCCAGCCAUUCCGCGUGCAGGAUGAAGGCCCUCGGGUUGUAAACUGCUUUUGUACAGAACGAAAAGGUUUCUACUAAUACUAGGAGCUCAUGACGGUACUGUAAGAAUAAGCACCGGCUAACUACGUGCCAGCAGCCGCGGUAA
Molecule: ribosomal RNA, 500 nt
Filed under: uncultured bacterium
Lineage: Bacteria
Description: partial 16S ribosomal RNA
Rfam family: Bacterial small subunit ribosomal RNA
Source: RNAcentral